ACUAGUUUAUAUUGUCCAUUAUUUAACACAUAUAGAAAAUGAUACAGUUAAAUUUUAAGUACUUGAUAGAUGUUCCUCGCUCAAAUACGAAAAUUUUUCAGGUAAAUUAAAAAUUCUUGUUCAAAUACCGAAGGAUGGCUCAAAUAAACACCCCAAGUAGCAAACAAUAUUAAAGUAAUAUUGGCACGAUAUUGGGUAUCUUGGCUAAUCUUGGCCAAGAUAUCCGAUAUUGCGCCAAUAUUGUCAAGCAAUAUUACGCCAAUAUUGUUUUACCAAUAUUGGCAAACAAUAUUGCGCCAAUAUUAUCUAUUAUCGUUUUCCUAAAAUUGUUACGCCAAUAUUGGCGAAAUAUUGCGCCAAUAUUAUCCCAUUUAUCAAUUUACUGAUAUUGUUAUGCCAAUAUUAGCGAAAUAUUGUUUGCCAAUAUUGGCUUUAUAUUAAAUUUUACGUAUAGGUACGCAUGCGAAACAUUAAGGAAUAUUCAUAAUAUCCUUUACUUUUGUUGAAUGUAAACAAAAGCAUCUUUUUACAUAAACUGGCCUCCUUAUAUUAAUAAUUUUUUUACAAAAACAAAUAAUAGUUCAAAACAAAAGUUUUAAUUUAUAAAAAGAAAAGAAGUAGGAAAAGUAUUUUUAAAUCAACAUUUACAGAGUGAAUCAGGAGAAGAAGUGUUGGUAAUUUAUUUUGAAACAGAUAGUAUCACGAGAAGAAGUGCUGAUGUACCGUUAAACUGAAGAUAGUAAUAAAGUUUAGAAAAUUUGCUCUGGCUGAAUUUUUCAAUGAAAAAACAAUAUGUGUGCCAUGAAUGUAAUCUGUUUUUCAUGGCGAAUCAAUGAAAGUUUGGUGUAUUGGCCAAAUCACUUGCAAGCAUCUUGUCUUUAGGCUGCCAUACGUUAAGACACGCUUUUAAAAGUAACUGAAAGCAGCUGAAAAUAAGAGUUUUUUGAUGAACUUUCUUACUUCGGUUGGAGGAGAUAAGAGACAAUUUACAGCGGCAAAUUUUAAUACAGCUAAUGGCCAAAAAAGUAUGUUUUUCGUACUCAGUGUAUGGAAUGAAACAAAAACGUCCUGCAAGGUCGUUAUAGAGUUGCGUUUAGUCGUUUAUCGUUGUAUUUGUUCAUUUCGAAAUCGCUACUGACAAAAGUAU
Non-coding RNA from Hydra vulgaris (swiftwater hydra), 1147 nucleotides. The record is from RefSeq and is a predicted model, not a curated record. NCBI's taxonomy places the organism in Eukaryota, Metazoa, Cnidaria, Hydrozoa, Anthoathecata, Hydridae.